GACGAACGCUGGCGGCGUGCUUAACACAUGCAAGUCGAACGGAAAGUCCCUGCUUUUGUGGUGUGCUCGAUUGGCGAACGGGUGAGUAACACGUGUGUAACCUGCCCUUGUCUUUGUGAUAACUUCAGGAAACUCGGGCUAAUACCUGAUAGGAUCUCCUGCUGCAUGGUGUGGGUUGGAAAGUUUCGGCUGUUGGGGAUGGACUCGCGGCUUAUCAGCUUGUUUGUGGGGUAGUGGCUUACCAAGGCUUUGACGGGUAGCCGGCCCGAGAGGGUGACCGGCGACAAUGGGACUGAGAUAGGGCACAGACGCGUACGGGAGGCAGCAGUGGGGAAUAUGGCAGAAUGGGAGGAAGCGUGAGGAAGCAACGGCGCGUGCGGGAAGACGGCCUUGGGGUUGUAAACAGAUUUCGAGUGUGAAGAAGAGUGAGUGACGGUAAUGGGUAAAGAAGCAACGGCUAACUACGUG
Molecule: ribosomal RNA, 468 nt
Filed under: uncultured bacterium
Lineage: Bacteria
Description: partial 16S ribosomal RNA
Rfam family: Bacterial small subunit ribosomal RNA
Source: RNAcentral